Mastomys coucha (southern multimammate mouse) is the source of this 1411-nucleotide long non-coding RNA. RefSeq lists it as uncharacterized. The transcript is spliced from 4 exons. Lineage: Eukaryota; Metazoa; Chordata; Mammalia; Rodentia; Muridae. The record is from RefSeq and is a predicted model, not a curated record.
CCACGGCAGAGAUGUUUCCAUCAGGCCUGUGGGACAACAGAGCUAGGAGGCCUAGUGGAGGCCUGAGCCGGGGGUGGGGUGGGGCUGAGAACCAGCCCUCUUAGGUGACAUUUGUUCCCGUUUCUCUCCCAGGAAUGCCAAGGUGUCUCCCCUUGAAGCCUCCGUGGGUUUCAGGCUUCCUGGAGUGGCUUAGUUCGUGGAUGUGUGUAGCCACUGCCAUCUUGAAUCUCUCCUCUAUUCCCUUUUAACACUGACUGAGAAUGUUAAUGAGGUAGCAUGGGUAAAUUGCUUGUUAUCUCACAAUUAUCAUUUAUGUCAACACAAACUUUUAUUUAUUUAUACAAUAUGGCAAGAUAAUUCUUUGUGUUUUUUUCCCCUGUAUUCUAAAAGCUUAGGAAAUACUUUUUCCUCAUCGUUAAGAAUAAUGUUCUCGCUGGUGAGAUGGCUGAGCAGCAGAUGGAGACCAUGAUAGAAAACCCAAACUGAUUGUGUGGUAGCCAGCCCCCGUUGCUACACCCACAGAAUAAUGCCUACACCCAAAGCUCAGGAAACAUCACAGGAGAGGGGCCAGAAAGAAUGUAAGAGACAGAGGACCAGUAAGUCCUCUGUGAAGAAAUUGUGUCUCCUAGAAAUCAUGGAAAAGCUUCAUCCACAAUACCCCAGCAACGUGGCUGCCUAAAGCACUCUUGAAGAGUGCAACACCAGUAGAAAUGGUGAUAUGCAAGAGGAAUGUCUCUCAUGGUACCACCUGUGACAAAGAAGGACAGGCAAUGAAGGAAUGCUGAGAGCGGGAGACACAGUCUGCCUCAGGGAUGAGCUUGCUAACUACUUAGCCACUACUAAGUUGUCGGCCCUAACAUGAUAUAAUACAAGUAACACUAAAUGGACCAUAUCUUCCCUGUACUACAAAACUCAACACUCUCAAGCUUAGAGGAGAACCCAUUACUGCCACGUUAUUGAAAUAUCUACCCACCCAGGGAUGGUGCUGCUCACAGUGGGAAGGGUCCCUCUACUUCAAUUUGUAAUCAGGGAAUGUCCCAAGUCAUGCCCACAGCUCUGAUUAGAGGUAAUUCCUCAGUUGAAGUUAUCUUUCUAGAUAGAUCAAAUUGAUAACUUAUGCUAACUAUAACAGUUGCCAACAAAACCUGUGAAUCUGGAAGUGGACUCUUCCUUAAGUUUGCUCAUUUUAAGAAAAUUGCAAGGGAGGUCACCUUGAUCUUAGAACCCCGCUAGGGAAUGUCCACACCACUGACCCACAGAAACCAUGAAAUGAUGACUGCAUGGUUUAACCUUUCUAAGUUUUUGGUAAGUUUUUUUGAAACAAUAAAUAUCUAGUUGAUUCUAAGUGACUUAAUAUAUUAAAACAAUGCACCAGAAAUCAUGAAAAGUGUGCUUAAUGUAGCUAGAAGAA